This 571-nucleotide ribosomal RNA is filed under the name uncultured Alteromonas sp. RNAcentral describes it as "bacterial SSU rRNA". It matches the Rfam family "Bacterial small subunit ribosomal RNA", at positions 61 to 627 of the family's 1533-position model. The record is from RNAcentral. Lineage: Bacteria; Pseudomonadati; Pseudomonadota; Gammaproteobacteria; Alteromonadales; Alteromonadaceae.
GUCGAACGGUAACAUUUCUAGCUUGCUAGAAGAUGACGAGUGGCGGACGGGUGAGUAAUGCUUGGGAACUUGCCUUUGCGAGGGGGAUAACAGUUGGAAACGACUGCUAAUACCGCAUAAUGUCUUUGGACCAAACGGGGCUUCGGCUCCGGCGCAAAGAGAGGCCCAAGUGAGAUUAGCUAGUUGGUAAGGUAACGGCUUACCAAGGCGACGAUCUCUAGCUGUUCUGAGAGGAAGAUCAGCCACACUGGGACUGAGACACGGCCCAGACUCCUACGGGAGGCAGCAGUGGGGAAUAUUGCACAAUGGGGGAAACCCUGAUGCAGCCAUGCCGCGUGUGUGAAGAAGGCCUUCGGGUUGUAAAGCACUUUCAGUUGUGAGGAAAAGUUAGUAGUUAAUACCUGCUAGCCGUGACGUUAACAACAGAAGAAGCACCGGCUAACUUCGUGCCAGCAGCCGCGGUAAUACGGAGGGUGCGAGCGUUAAUCGGAAUUACUGGGGCGUAAAGCGCACGCAGGCGGUUUGUUUAAGCUAGAUGUGAAAGCCCCGGGCUCAACCUGGGAUGGUCAUU